This 253-nucleotide ribosomal RNA is filed under the name uncultured bacterium. RNAcentral describes it as "partial 16S ribosomal RNA". It matches the Rfam family "Bacterial small subunit ribosomal RNA", at positions 524 to 776 of the family's 1533-position model. The record is from RNAcentral.
UACAGAGGGGGCAAGCGUUGUUCGGAAUUACUGGGCGUAAAGGGCGCGUAGGCGGCCUGUUAAGUCGAACGUGAAAUCCCCGGGCUCAACCCGGGAACUGCGUCCGAUACUGGCAGGCUUGAAUCCGGGAGAGGGAUGCGGAAUUCCAGGUGUAGCGGUGAAAUGCGUAGAUAUCUGGAGGAACACCGGUGGCGAAGGCGGGUCUCUGGGCAGUAACUGACGCUGAGGAGCGAAAGCGUGGGGAGCGAACAGG